UCUGGCUCAGGAUGAACGCUAGCGGCAGGCUAACACAUGCAAGUCGAGGGGCAUCGGGAGUAGCAAUACUGCCGGCGACCGGCGCAAGGGUGCGUAACGCGUGAGCAACAUGCCCGUAUCAGGGGGAUAAUCCAUGGAAAACGUGGUCUAAUACCCCAUAGUAAUUAUGUAAGGCAUCUUAUAUAAUUUAAAGCUUUGGUGGAUACGGAUUGGCUCGCGUGACAUUAGCUGGAUGGUAAGGUAACGGCUUACCAUGGCUACGAUGUCUAGGGGUUCUGAGAGGAAGGUCCCCCACACUGGAACUGAGACACGGUCCAGACUCCUACGGGAGGCAGCAGUGAGGAAUAUUGGACAAUGGAUGGAAAUCUGAUCCAGCCAUGCCGCGUGCAGGAAGACGGCCCUAUGGGUUGUAAACUGCUUUUGUAUGGGAGCAAUAAGGGCUACGUGUAGUCCGAUGAGAGUACCAUACGAAUAAGCACCGGCUAACUCCGUGCCAGCCGCCGC
Molecule: ribosomal RNA, 504 nt
Filed under: uncultured bacterium
Lineage: Bacteria
Description: bacterial SSU rRNA
Rfam family: Bacterial small subunit ribosomal RNA
Source: RNAcentral